This 671-nucleotide ribosomal RNA is filed under the name uncultured bacterium. RNAcentral describes it as "bacterial SSU rRNA". It matches the Rfam family "Bacterial small subunit ribosomal RNA", at positions 56 to 697 of the family's 1533-position model. The record is from RNAcentral.
UGCAGUCGAACGGAGAAUUUCAAUAAGCUUGCUUAGAGAAAUUUUUAGUGGCGGACGGGUGAGUAACGCGUGGGUAACCUACCCAUAAAGCCGGGACAACCCUUGGAAACGAGGGCUAAUACCGGAUAAUCUUAAGCUUUGGCAUCAAAGUAUAAGGAAAGGUGGCCUCUGAGUAUGCUACCGAUUAUGGAUGGACCCGCGUCUGAUUAGCUAGUUGGUGGGGUAAAGGCCUACCAAGGCGACGAUCAGUAGCCGGCCUGAGAGGGUGAACGGCCACACUGGGACUGAGACACGGCCCAGACUCCUACGGGAGGCAGCAGUGGGGAAUCUUCCGCAAUGGACGAAAGUCUGACGGAGCAACGCCGCGUGUAUGAUGAAGGUCUUCGGAUUGUAAAGUACUGUCUUUGGGGAAGAAUGACUGGUUUGAAAAUAUUGAGCCAGUAUGACGGUACCCAAGGAGGAAGCCCCGGCUAACUACGUGCCAGCAGCCGCGGUAAUACGUAGGGGGCAAGCGUUGUCCGGAAUUAUUGGGCGUAAAGGGCGCGUAGGCGGAUGUUUAAGUCCGGUGUGAAAGAUCAGGGCUCAACCCUGAGAGUGCAUCGGAAACUGGGCAUCUUGAGGACAGGAGAGGAAAGUGGAAUUCCACGUGUAGCGGUGAAAUGCGUAGAUAU